GAUGAACGCUGGCGGCGUGCCUAAUACAUGCAAGUCGAGCGAACAGACGAGGAGCUUGCUCCUCUGAUGUUAGCGGCGGACGGGUGAGUAACACGUGGAUAACCUACCUAUAAGACUGGGAUAACUUCGGGAAACCGGAGCUAAUACCGGAUAACAUGUUGAACCGCAUGGUUCAACAGUGAAAGACGGUCUUGCUGUCACUUAUAGAUGGAUCCGCGCCGCAUUAGCUAGUUGGUAAGGUAACGGCUUACCAAGGCAACGAUGCGUAGCCGACCUGAGAAGGUGAUCGGCCACACUGGAACUGAGACACGGUCCAGACUCCUACGGGAGGCAGCAGUAGGGAAUCUUCCGCAAUGGGCGAAAGCCUGACGGAGCAACGCCGCGUGAGUGAAGAAGGUCUUCGGAUCGUAAAACUCUGUUAUUAGGGAAGAACAAAUGUGUAAGUAACUAUGCACGUCUUGACGGUACCUAAUCAGAAAGCCACGGCUAACUACGUG
RNAcentral lists this ribosomal RNA (497 nucleotides) under uncultured bacterium. Its description in RNAcentral is "partial 16S ribosomal RNA". It matches the Rfam family "Bacterial small subunit ribosomal RNA", at positions 28 to 507 of the family's 1533-position model. The record is from RNAcentral.